CCUACGGGUGACAGCAGUGAGGAAUAUUGGUCAAUGGGCGGGAGCCUGAACCAGCCAAGUCGCGUGAGGGAAGACGGUCCUAUGGAUUGUAAACCUCUUUAGGCGGGGAGCAAGGCCGGGCACGCGUGCCCGGAGGGAGAGAACCCGCAGAAGAAGCAGCGGCUAACUCCGUGCCAGCAGCCGCGGUAAUACGGAGGAUGCGAGCGUUAGCCGGAUUUAUGGGGUUUAAAGGGUGCGUAGGCGGAUUUUUAAGUCAGCGGUAAAAGGUCCGGGCUCAACCCGGGCCGGCCGUUGAAACUGGGGAUCUUGAUUUGGCGAGACGUAUGCGGAAUGCGUGGUGUAGCGGU
Molecule: ribosomal RNA, 347 nt
Filed under: uncultured bacterium
Lineage: Bacteria
Description: partial 16S ribosomal RNA
Rfam family: Bacterial small subunit ribosomal RNA
Source: RNAcentral